Molecule: ribosomal RNA, 78 nt
Filed under: Escherichia coli
Lineage: Bacteria; Pseudomonadati; Pseudomonadota; Gammaproteobacteria; Enterobacterales; Enterobacteriaceae
Also listed under: 704 other names
Source: RNAcentral
UCUGGCGGCAGUAGCGCGGUGGUCCCACCUGACCCCAUGCCGAACUCAGAAGUGAAACGCCGUAGCGCCGAUGGUAGU